RNAcentral lists this long non-coding RNA (564 nucleotides) under Elaeis guineensis (African oil palm). RNAcentral describes it as "long non-coding RNA (EGUI_LNC046121)". The record is from RNAcentral. Lineage: Eukaryota; Viridiplantae; Streptophyta; Magnoliopsida; Arecales; Arecaceae.
CAUCACUCUAUUCACAGUCUGCAUUACGAUCUGUACGAUUGAAUCUUAUUUUGAUAUCAUCAAAAUAUAUCGAACAGAACGUGAUAUGCUCCGUAGUUAUGUAUACUUUCACUAUAGAUCCUUCAAGCUGUGCCUCAUUGUACACAUAUUUUUUUAGGAUACACAAGAAUCUAUAAAUAAAAAUAAAUUUAAAUUUAAUUAAUAUAUUUAUAUCUUAUAACUGAUAUGAUAAAGAGAUUAUGAUUUCUUUACCUUUCAAUAGGAAACAUCUAUCGAUAAUGUACUGAUCCGACCAAAGAGCUUUCUUUAAGAGAUGAACAACCAGGUACACCAUAAUAUCAAAAAAUGAUGGUAAAAUUUUUUUUCUAACUUAUAAAAAAUUAGCACAAUAUCCUUCUCAAACUUCUCAAGUAAGUUAAUCUUCAAUUUUUAACAAUACAGUUCUCGAAAGAAUACUUCCAACUCAAUCAAUGCAGCUUGAACAUCGCCACUCAGAUAGCCACAUAUGACCAUAGGAAGCAAGUGCUGUAUCAUCACAUAAGAGUCAUAACUUUUCAUGCCAGA